This 253-nucleotide ribosomal RNA is filed under the name uncultured bacterium. Its description in RNAcentral is "partial 16S ribosomal RNA". It matches the Rfam family "Bacterial small subunit ribosomal RNA", at positions 524 to 776 of the family's 1533-position model. The record is from RNAcentral.
UACGAAGGGGGCUAGCGUUGCUCGGAAUUACUGGGCGUAAAGGGCGCGUAGGCGGAUAUUUAAGUUGGGGGUGAAAUCCCGGGGCUCAACCUCGGAAUUGCCUUCAAAACUGGAUAUCUUGAGUUCGGGAGAGGUGAGUGGAACUCCGAGUGUAGAGGUGAAAUUCGUAGAUAUUCGGAAGAACACCAGUGGCGAAGGCGACUCACUGGCCCGAUACUGACGCUGAGGCGCGAAAGCCAGGGGAGCGAACGGG